AUUGAACGCUGGCGGCAGGCCUAACACAUGCAAGUCGAGCGGAUGAGUGGAGCUUGCUCCAUGAUUCAGCGGCGGACGGGUGAGUAAUGCCUAGGAAUCUGCCUGGUAGUGGGGGACAACGUUUCGAAAGGAACGCUAAUACCGCAUACGUCCUACGGGAGAAAGCAGGGGACCUUCGGGCCUUGCGCUAUCAGGUGAGCCUAGGUCGGAUUAGCUAGUAGGUGAGGUAAAGGCUCACCUAGGCGACGAUCCGUAACUGGUCUGAGAGGAUGAUCAGUCACACUGGAACUGAGACACGGUCCAGACUCCUACGGGAGGCAGCAGUGGGGAAUAUUGGACAAUGGGCGAAAGCCUGAUCCAGCCAUGCCGCGUGUGUGAAGAAGGUCUUCGGAUUGUAAAGCACUUUAAGUUGGGAGGAAGGGCAGUAAGCUAAUACCUUGCUGUUUUGACGUUACCAACAGAAUAAGCACCGGCUAACUUCGUGCCAGCCGCCGCAGUAA
RNAcentral lists this ribosomal RNA (500 nucleotides) under uncultured bacterium. Its description in RNAcentral is "partial 16S ribosomal RNA". It matches the Rfam family "Bacterial small subunit ribosomal RNA", at positions 30 to 523 of the family's 1533-position model. The record is from RNAcentral.